Molecule: ribosomal RNA, 490 nt
Filed under: uncultured bacterium
Lineage: Bacteria
Description: bacterial SSU rRNA
Rfam family: Bacterial small subunit ribosomal RNA
Source: RNAcentral
GGAUUAGGCAUGCAAGUCGAACGGUAGUAUCCUUUCGGGGAUAUGAGAGUGGCGAACGGGUGAGUAACACGUAGGUGAUCUACCCUCAAAUGGGGGACAACCCAGGGAAACUUGGGCUAAUACCGCAUGAGAGUGCCCUUAGGGGUAUUUAAAAGAUGGCAGCAAUGCUGUCGUUUGAGGAUGAGCCUGCGCCCUAUUAGUUAGUUGGUGAGGUAACGGCUCACCAAGGCGAUGAUAGGUAGGCGGCCUUAACGGGUGGUCGCCCACACUGGGAUUGAGAUACGGCCCAGACUCCUACGGGAGGCAGCAGUCGAGAAUAGUCUACAAUGGUCGAAAGACUGAUAGUGCGACGCCGCGUGAACGAAGAAGCCCUUCGGGGUGUAAAGUUCUUUUAUAUGUGAGCAAUGSUUUCUACGUGAACAGCUUGGGAUCAGGGAUAUUAGCAUAUGAAUAAGCAACGGCUAACUCCGUGCCAGCAGCCGCGGUAAUA